RNAcentral lists this signal recognition particle RNA (148 nucleotides) under Homo sapiens (human). RNAcentral's name for it is "Metazoan signal recognition particle RNA". It matches the Rfam family "Metazoan signal recognition particle RNA". Rfam says of the family: The signal recognition particle (SRP) is a universally conserved ribonucleoprotein. It is involved in the co-translational targeting of proteins to membranes. The eukaryotic SRP consists of a 300-nucleotide 7S RNA and six proteins: SRPs 72, 68, 54, 19, 14, and 9. Lineage: Eukaryota; Metazoa; Chordata; Mammalia; Primates; Hominidae. The record is from Rfam by way of RNAcentral.
GCCAGGUGUGGUGGUGCACACCUGUAGUCCCAGUUACUUGGGAAGCUAAGGCAGGGGGAUCACUUGAGCCCAGGAACUUGAGGCUGCAGUGAGCUAUGACUGCACCACUGCACUCCAGCCUGGGCAACAGAGUGAGACCCUGUCUCAA